CUCAAAAUAUGUUUCCGUUGAUAUUAGCAGAGGUUUCCCUUCCGCUCAAGCGCCCAAGGAAACUGGAUAUUUUGAAGAUUUUGUUGUCUUAACGGCAUUUGCAACAUAGGGAACCCAAAAAGACCAGUGGACCGAGGCCGCCGUUGAGAUAGUUCUGCUACCCCGCUAGGUGGGUAAUUUUUUGAACUAGGAUCAACAGAUUUUGUUGUAAGAUCUAAUGUAUAUCUUUUGAUGUUUUGGGGAUUGUAUAUAAACACAGUAUUAUGAUGAAAGUAGGUAACUAUGGUAUAGUGUAUUUUGUGGUUUGGUGAUUGUAAUUUAUACUUAUUGCUGCUUAGGUUUCCGCUGUGUAUGACAGGUGUGUUCCUGUUUCCCAUGGGUUCAAGUUGACUUUAUUAUAUGUUGAGUUAAUGGUAUCAGAAUAUUAAAUGUGAUUAAUUA
Molecule: long non-coding RNA, 441 nt
Organism: Malania oleifera
Lineage: Eukaryota; Viridiplantae; Streptophyta; Magnoliopsida; Santalales; Ximeniaceae
Exons: 3
Source: RefSeq, a predicted model, not a curated record